This 22-nucleotide microRNA is filed under the name Gallus gallus (chicken). RNAcentral's name for it is "MIR-551". Lineage: Eukaryota; Metazoa; Chordata; Aves; Galliformes; Phasianidae. The record is from RNAcentral.
CAGGCGACCCAUACUUGGUUUC